UACGUAGGUGGCGAGCGUUGUCCGGAUUCAUUGGGUUUAAAGGGUGCGUAGGCGGCCCUGUAAGUCAGCGGUGAAAUACGGCAGCUCAACUGUCGAGGUGCCGUUGAUACUGCGGGGCUUGAGUGUUGACGAGGCGGGCGGAAUUGACGGUGUAGCGGUGAAAUGCGUAGAUAUCGUAAGGAAGACCAGUGGCGAAGGCGAGUUCCUGGACAGUUGCUGACACUGAGGCACGAAGGCUAGGGGAGCAAACGGG
Molecule: ribosomal RNA, 253 nt
Filed under: uncultured prokaryote
Description: partial 16S ribosomal RNA
Rfam family: Bacterial small subunit ribosomal RNA
Source: RNAcentral